UACGAAGGGGGCUAGCGUUGUUCGGAAUUACUGGGCGUAAAGCGCACGUCGGCGGGUCUGUAAGUAGGGGGUGAAAUCCCAGGGCUCAACCCUGGAACUGCCUUCUAGACUGCAGGCCUUGAGGUCAGGAGAGGCGAGUGGAAUACCGAGUGUAGAGGUGAAAUUCGUAGAUAUUCGGUGGAACACCAGUGGCGAAGGCGACUCGCUGGACUGAUACUGACGCUGAGGUGCGAAAGCGUGGGGAGCAAACAGG
This 253-nucleotide ribosomal RNA is filed under the name uncultured bacterium. RNAcentral's name for it is "partial 16S ribosomal RNA". It matches the Rfam family "Bacterial small subunit ribosomal RNA", at positions 524 to 776 of the family's 1533-position model. The record is from RNAcentral.